This 454-nucleotide ribosomal RNA is filed under the name uncultured Thiobacillus sp. RNAcentral describes it as "bacterial SSU rRNA". It matches the Rfam family "Bacterial small subunit ribosomal RNA", at positions 923 to 1382 of the family's 1533-position model. Lineage: Bacteria; Pseudomonadati; Pseudomonadota; Betaproteobacteria; Nitrosomonadales; Thiobacillaceae. The record is from RNAcentral.
GCACAAGCGGUGGAUGAUGUGGAUUAAUUCGAUGCAACGCGAAAAACCUUACCUACCCUUGACAUGUCCGGAAUCCUGCAGAGAUGCGGGAGUGCCCGAAAGGGAAUCGGAACACAGGUGCUGCAUGGCUGUCGUCAGCUCGUGUCGUGAGAUGUUGGGUUAAGUCCCGCAACGAGCGCAACCCUUAUCAUUAGUUGCUACGCAAGGGCACUCUAAUGAGACUGCCGGUGACAAACCGGAGGAAGUGGGGAUGACGUCAAGUCCUCAUGGCCCUUAUGGGUAGGGCUUCACACGUCAUACAAUGGUCGGUACAGAGGGUUGCCAAGCCGCGAGGUGGAGCCAAUCCCAGAAAGCCGAUCGUAGUCCGGAUUGUUCUCUGCAACUCGAGAGCAUGAAGUCGGAAUCGCUAGUAAUCGCGGAUCAGCAUGUCGCGGUGAAUACGUUCCCGGGUCUU